GACACUCAUCCAACAGGGCCGUGUCACCAGGCAACCCAGCAGCUAACCGUGGCUUCCGGAAUGAGCCAGGAACCUGUCUCGGCUUGAGACAGUGCCCAGAUCACACAUCCAUGCUCUUGGCAAGCAGCUGUUGGAGUCAACAACCUCAGUCGCAGCACUGACAUUCUAGACUCCAGCUUCGCCAUGGUAACGUCUGUGAGGUCUCCAGUCUAUCUGUCAUCCUCCCAACCCAAUCCAUCCCUGCACGGAAGAACGGAGACCUGAUUCAGUCCAAGACUGUCACAUGUAUGCCAAAGUUUGAAGAAUGGCUGGCCAUAUCCACUCGGCUAGUGGAUUCCUGACUGCAGCCUAUAAAAGGGGCAAAGCACCCAUUUGCUACUGGACCUCUUCUCUCUUCCCCUACCUGCAGAACUAUUGGAUACCUUCCUUCCUCUCUGAAGCAGAGAGCCAAAUGCCAGCAUCGUGUCUGUAUGAACCUCUGCUAUGAUGACAACUGCUCUUCUGUGCCUUCCUUGCCAGGAGAGACUGAGUGCUUUAAAACCAUGUUCAAAAAGAAGUCCUUGUUUCUGUUGGUGGGGGGCGGGGGUCACAGUGAUACAAUGUAACCAAUACAGUCAGGAUAGCAGAUAUACUUACAGGAGAAAUAAUCAGAGUCAAGACAUUUACCUCA
This is a long non-coding RNA of Rattus rattus (black rat), 670 nucleotides long. RefSeq lists it as uncharacterized. The record is from RefSeq and is a predicted model, not a curated record. The transcript is spliced from 3 exons. NCBI's taxonomy places the organism in Eukaryota, Metazoa, Chordata, Mammalia, Rodentia, Muridae.